This 428-nucleotide ribosomal RNA is filed under the name uncultured bacterium. Its description in RNAcentral is "bacterial SSU rRNA". It matches the Rfam family "Bacterial small subunit ribosomal RNA", at positions 355 to 775 of the family's 1533-position model. The record is from RNAcentral.
UGGGGAAUAUUGCGCAAUGGGCGAAAGCCUGACGCAGCGACGCCGCGUGAGGGAUGAAGGUCCUCGGAUCGUAAACCUCUGUCAGGAGGGAAGAACCGCCACGGUGCUAAUCAGCCGUGGUCUGACGGUACCUCCAAAGGAAGCACCGGCUAACUCCGUGCCAGCAGCCGCGGUAAUACGGAGGGUGCGAGCGUUAAUCGGAAUCACUGGGCGUAAAGCGCACGUAGGCUGCUUGGUAAGUCAGGGGUGAAAGCCCGCGGCUCAACCGCGGAAUUGCCUUUGAUACUGCCGAGCUAGAGUCCGGGAGAGGGUAGUGGAAUUCCAGGUGUAGGAGUGAAAUCCGUAGAGAUCUGGAGGAACAUCAGUGGCGAAGGCGACUACCUGGACCGGUACUGACGCUGAGGUGCGAAAGCGUGGGGAGCAAACAG